Molecule: ribosomal RNA, 252 nt
Filed under: uncultured archaeon
Lineage: Archaea
Description: partial 16S ribosomal RNA
Rfam family: Archaeal small subunit ribosomal RNA
Source: RNAcentral
AACCAGCACCUCAAGUGGUCAGGAGGAUUAUUGGGCCUAAAGCAUCCGUAGCCGGCUCUGUAAGUUUUCGGUUAAAUCCAUGUGCUAAACGCAUGGGCUGCCGAAAAUACUGCAUAGCUAGGGAGUGGGAGAGGUAGACGGUACUCGGUAGGAAGGGGUAAAAUCCUUUGAUCUAUCGAUGACCACCUGUGGCGAAGGCGGUCUACAAGAACACGUUCGACGGUGAGGGAUGAAAGCUGGGUAGCAAACAGG